This 492-nucleotide ribosomal RNA is filed under the name uncultured bacterium. RNAcentral describes it as "partial 16S ribosomal RNA". It matches the Rfam family "Bacterial small subunit ribosomal RNA", at positions 30 to 507 of the family's 1533-position model. The record is from RNAcentral.
AUUGAACGCUGGCGGCAGGCCUAACACAUGCAAGUCGAGCGGCUGCAGAGAACUUGCUCCUUCAUUCAGCUGCGGACGGGUGAGUAAUUCCUAGAAAUCUGCCUGUUUGUUUUUUCUUACGUGCUGAAACGGGGCCAAUUACGCUAAUACCCCAUACGACCUACGGGUGGAAGCUCGGGAUCUUCGGCCCUUGCUCGAUCUAAUGCGGCGAGGUCGGAUUAGCUAGUUGGCGGGGUAAAGGGCCACCAAGGCGACGAUCCGUAGCUGGUCUGAGAGGAUGAUCAGUCACACUGGAACUGAGACACGGUCCAGACUCCUACGGGAGGCAGCAGUGGGGAAUAUUGGACAAUGGGCGAAAGCCUGAUCCAGCCAUGCCGCGUGGGUGAAGAAGGUCUUCGGAUUGUAAAGCACUUUAGGUGGGGAGGAAGAGCAGUAAGUUAAUACCUUGCUGUUUUGACGUUACCAAAAGAAUAAGCACCGGCUAACUUCGUG